UUCCUUGAGACCGCAUGGUUCAAGGAUCAGUGCGAAAGACGGUUUCGGCUGUCACUUACAGAUGGACCCGCGGCGCAUUAGCUAGUUGGUGGGGUAAUGGCUCACCAAGGCGACGAUGCGUAGCCGACCUGAGAGGGUGAUCGGCCACACUGGGACUGAGACACGGCCCAGACUCCUACGGGAGGCAGCAGUAGGGAAUCUUCCUGCAAUGGACGAAAGUCUGACGGAGCAACGCCGCGUGAGUGAUGAAGGUUUUCGCGAUCGUAAAGCUCUGUUGUUAGGGAAGAACAAGUGCGAGAGUAACUGCUCGCACCUUGACGGUACCUGACAACCAGAAAGCCACGGCUAACUACGUGCCAGCAGCCGCGGUAAUACGUAGGUGGCAAGCGUUGUCCGGAAUUAUUGGGCGUAAAGGGCUCGCAGGCGGUUUCUUAAGUCUGAUGUGAAAGCCCCCGGCUCAACCGGGGAGGGUCAGUUGGAAACUGGGAAACUUGAGUGCAGAAGAGGAGAGUGGAAUUCCACGUGUAGCGGUGAAAUGCGUAGAGAUGUGGAGGAACACCAGUGGCGAAGGCGACUCUCUGGUCUGUAACUGACGCU
RNAcentral lists this ribosomal RNA (597 nucleotides) under Bacillus safensis. RNAcentral's name for it is "bacterial SSU rRNA". It matches the Rfam family "Bacterial small subunit ribosomal RNA", at positions 166 to 747 of the family's 1533-position model. The record is from RNAcentral. Lineage: Bacteria; Bacillati; Bacillota; Bacilli; Caryophanales; Bacillaceae.